RNAcentral lists this ribosomal RNA (456 nucleotides) under uncultured bacterium. RNAcentral describes it as "bacterial SSU rRNA". It matches the Rfam family "Bacterial small subunit ribosomal RNA", at positions 340 to 786 of the family's 1533-position model. The record is from RNAcentral.
UACGGAAGGCAGCAGUGGGGAAUAUUGCACAAUGGGCGCAAGCCUGAUGCAGCCAUGCCGCGUGUAUGAAGAAGGCCUUCGGGUUGUAAAGUACUUUCAGCGGGGAGGAAGGCGAUGCGGUUAAUAACCGCGUCGAUUGACGUUACCCGCAGAAGAAGCACCGGCUAACUCCGUGCCAGCAGCCGCGGUAAUACGGAGGGUGCAAGCGUUAAUCGGAAUUACUGGGCGUAAAGCGCACGCAGGCGGUCUGUUAAGUCAGAUGUGAAAUCCCCGGGCUUAACCUGGGAACUGCAUUUUGAACUGGCAGGCUUGAGUCUUGUAGAGGGGGUAGAAUUCCAGGUGUAGCGGUGAAAUGCGUAGAGAUCUGGAGGAAUACCGGUGGCGAAGGCGGCCCCUGGGACAAAGACUGACGCUCAGGUGCGAAAGCGUGGGGAGCAAACGAGGGAUUAGGAUACC